AGAGUUUGAUCCUGGCUCAGAAUGAACGCUGGCGGCGUGCCUAACACAUGCAAGUCGAACGAGAAAAUGGGCUUCGGUCCAUGAGUAAAGUGGCAGACGGGUGAGUAACACGUGGGUAACCUACCCGGUGGCGGGGGAUAACCUUUCGAAAGGAAGGCUAAUACCGCAUAACACCUCGGAUUCUUCGGAAACCGAGGCCAAAGCUAGCCUCUACUUGUAAGCUAGUACCACCGGAGGGGCCCGCGCCCCAUUAGCUAGAUGGUGAGGUAACGGCUCACCAUGGCUACGAUGGGUAGCCGGCCUGAGAGGGUGAUCGGCCACACUGGAACUGAGACACGGUCCAGACUCCUACGGGAGGCAGCAGUGAGGAAUUUUGCGCAAUGGGGGAAACCCUGACGCAGCGACGCCGCGUGGAGGAGGAAGGUCUUCGGAUCGUAAACUCCUGUCAAGAGGGACGAAUGCCGCGGGGAUGAAUAAGCCCUGCGGUUGACGGUACCUCUGAAGAGCCC
RNAcentral lists this ribosomal RNA (509 nucleotides) under uncultured Acidobacteriaceae bacterium. Its description in RNAcentral is "bacterial SSU rRNA". It matches the Rfam family "Bacterial small subunit ribosomal RNA", at positions 8 to 492 of the family's 1533-position model. Lineage: Bacteria; Pseudomonadati; Acidobacteriota; Terriglobia; Terriglobales; Acidobacteriaceae. The record is from RNAcentral.